CGACCGGCGCACGGGUGAGUAACGCGUAUGCAACUUACCUAUCAGAGGGGGAUAGCCCGGCGAAAGUCGGAUUAAUACCCCAUAAACAGGGGUCCCGCAUGGGAAUAUUUGUUAAAGAUUCAUCGCUGAUAGAUAGGCAUGCGUUCCAUUAGGCAGUUGGCGGGGUAACGGCCCACCAAACCGACGAUGGAUAGGGGUUCUGAGAGGAAGGUCCCCCACAUUGGUACUGAGACACGGACCAA
This 242-nucleotide ribosomal RNA is filed under the name uncultured bacterium. RNAcentral describes it as "partial 16S ribosomal RNA". It matches the Rfam family "Bacterial small subunit ribosomal RNA", at positions 92 to 334 of the family's 1533-position model. The record is from RNAcentral.